GGGCUAGGCACAGCCCAGGGCUUGGGGAGGGGGGCUAGGCACAGCCCAGGGCUUGGGGAGGGGGGCUAGGCACAGCCCAGAGCUUGGAGAGGGGGGCUAGGGCCUUUGACUCAUCACACCAGCAGCUCCUUCUGGGUCGACAACUUCCUGCUUAACCGAACGAUGAGAUCAUCAGCAGCUUCGCUUAUGACAAGGCAGUUAAUACAAAAUGGAUAACAAAUAAGUAGGAAAUAUUAGGGUAAGAUUAGGUGAAUAACUUAUUAACAAACGCAAGACUGCUGCUCUGGAAGUGCAGCCCCCUGAUGAGGCACAGAAAGUGGAAAUGAAGGUUUGAGAAGGGGGUCCACAUAGGUUGGCCACAGAUCUCUUUGCACUCUUGCCAACUUUGUUGCUGUUUUGGCUUGGCUAGGUCAACUAGCUAGCCUGCAUUUUUACUUUGCCAUACUUGGGUCAUUAUGCCCUCAUUUACCACAUUUGUUAUUUGAAAGAUUUCAGCAAAAUCCUUUUGGUUUGUUAAUCAUAUAACUAGACUAGGGAAGCCAAAAGCGAGCUACUGGUUGCUGCACUGAACAACAGAUAUUGAAUGUUUCUUUUAAUUCCUAUGAAAAAAACAAAAAACUGUUACCAUUCAAUUCAUACCACAGUUUGGCCAACUCUCAGGUUGUGUUCAUUAGGGUGCAUGUUUGCUAAAGGUAAUUGAACAUAGAUGUUUCUUAUUGAAGUUUAGACAACCCUCCUAUUUGGGACUAUUGAACACAACCUUUAACUCAGAUAGCGCCAGGGAACAGCUGCAACUAGUGUUGCCUUUACUUUCACUCAAGUUCCUAUUUAUUUACCAGAAUAGAAUGCAGUCACUAUCUCUGAUUUCAUGUUUGUGUAACAGAAUGCCAUGCAACUAAAAUAGGUCAUUCUCCAGCUCACUGUUGGAAAGUUUUUAUAUAAGCCUAACAUCAAAGGACACUGUUUUGAAAACAUUUCUAAUGUGAUUUUCAGAAAAAGAUAACAUCCUAAUAUGAAUGAGGCUCAGCACAACAUAGCACUUUGACAGAAAUUGAUCUGUUUUUUCUUUAGCAAAAAUUUGUGAGUAUUUUCUAAACCAUUUGGUUCAGAGGAGCUGACUGCAGUCAAGCCACUCCAUCAACCACACAUCAUUUGUCUUUUCCACUCUCCCUAAAUUGGACAAUAGUUUGAGUUCCUAAUACAACAGAAUUACUUGAUAGGGGAUGUCAGUUUCAGUUAUAUUAUUCCCAUGUCUUUAUUUUCCCUGAACACCAAGCAUGCUCUGUAAAUCACAAGGUUAUUUUUGGGGAAUUUGGGAUUUUUGUACUUUUGACAUGUUUCUUACAAAGCCAUAAGGCAAUGUGGUCCCAGGUCACAAAUUCUUUAUGUCUGUCUUCUUUUGAACCAAUUAAAGCAUCUCACCAAUUUGUUUUCAAAUUUGAAGCAUAUUCCUUGAUUUUGUAAACAAUGUACAAAACAUGUAGAAAUCUGUGAAGAAAAAAGCUCUACCUGGAUAAAUGUUUGGUUUCACAUUAAAGCCUGCAUC
Molecule: long non-coding RNA, 1546 nt
Organism: Esox lucius (northern pike)
Lineage: Eukaryota; Metazoa; Chordata; Actinopteri; Esociformes; Esocidae
Source: Ensembl